RNAcentral lists this ribosomal RNA (466 nucleotides) under uncultured bacterium. RNAcentral describes it as "partial 16S ribosomal RNA". It matches the Rfam family "Bacterial small subunit ribosomal RNA", at positions 28 to 507 of the family's 1533-position model. The record is from RNAcentral.
GACGAACGCUGGCGGCGUGCUUAACACAUGCAAGUCGAACGGAAAGGCCCUGCUUGCAGGGUACUCGAGUGGCGAACGGGUGAGUAACACGUGGGUGAUCUGCCCUGCACUUCGGGAUAAGCUUGGGAAACUGGGUCUAAUACCGGAUAGGAACCAUCUUUCGUGUGGUGGUUGGAAAGUUUUUUCGGUGUAGGAUGAGCUCGCGGCCUAUCAGCUUGUUGGUGGGGUAAUGGCCUACCAAGGCGGCGACGGGUAGCCGGCCUGAGAGGGUGUACGGCCACAUUGGGACUGAGAUACGGCCCAGACUCCUACGGGAGGCAGCAGUGGGGAAUAUUGCACAAUGGGCGCAAGCCUGAUGCAGCGACGCCGCGUGGGGGAUGAAGGCCUUCGGGUUGUAAACUCCUUUCGCUAGGGACGAAGCUUUGUUGUGACGGUACCUAGAUAAGAAGCACCGGCUAACUACGUG